UGCCCACAGCUAUACAACAACCUGACGUUGCACGGAGGCGGCUACGCCUCGCACGGUACAUUUUACGUCCUGCAGGGUCGGCCCGACACGCACGCUGUGGUGUAUUGGGGCACGUUUCAGCCAAAGGAGCAACACAUCGCGGUGUUCUGCACGGAGGAGGAGGUGGAUCAGCUAGUCGAGGCCUUAAGAGCAGCAGCCUUUGUCAACUGGGGCCGUAUUCUCAUCAUCCAUGCUGUUCCUCGUUACUUGCUGGAUCUUAUGCAGAAGCUCACGGAGGAAAAGGGCGCCAUCAUAGACGUGUGUUCACGUGUCGCCUUUGCCUACCAACCUCAUCUAGACACACAGCCCAUAAGGGUUGGUCCAGGGUUCCGUGUGUGCCUGCUGGGGAGGGCAGGGGUCCACUAUCUGGUCCAGAGAGCUAAAUAUGGUGGAAUGGCUCACCUGGAAGUGUUAAGCCGCCUGGCACAGCAUGUACCCUUCGUGGGAGUGUACCGGGACUCAGGCGUGACUCAAGACACCACCGUGGACCCGAACAGUCUGCCUGUGGCGGGGGACGAGGAGCUGCCUGUUGCCUGGGUGGCUACCAAUUUUGUAGGAGCUGUUGGGAAGCUGAUGACGGACGAGGGCUACAGACGACACGGCCUUGGCAGUCUCAUUAUCACUGUAACAGCAAGGCGACAAGCUACCCUCCUGAAGCUCAUUCCUCAUGCCUUUGUUGACGCCAGUAACGCUGCUUCUAUCGCAAUGUUUACGGGGCUUCCUGGCUGGAAGUUAACACAUGAUGUAUUCACGGUGCUUGCUGGUGUCACUUUGCAAACUUACACCCAAAGACAGUAAGCAGCUGGUCCUGAUAUCUGAGACCACCAGCUGGCAAGUGAAUGCAAAAUGUAGUUUAUCUAUGUUGGUCUACCAAUAAUAAGUUGAUUUUUAUAGAGGAAAACCUUGCAUCGGUCAUUUAUUUUCUCUCGUUUACCAAUAAAUAAAACAACGAGAAUGAUCAACUACAUUUUUGUUAACAACAGUAUCACUUGUGUACUGAAGUGUAAUUGUUACAUUAAGCACCAAUAGAAAAUAAAGUUAAUCUUAGGGAGCACCACUCCAAACCAAUAUUCGUAGUAGUUUAGCACGUGAAAGAAUUAAUAUUUUAAUGCAUUUUCGUAUACGUUUUACCUUGGGGAGGGGCCAGGGGAGCAAGCCUCGUUAAUUAUAAAGUUGGGUGGCUUCGAUUUUCUAAGUCCAUUGUUAUUGUUGCACGAGGGCCUCUAUAAACAGACUGAGCUACAUAGCUGCCUUGCAGUACACCAUACAAACUAGUUCCUAAGUCAGUAAUAUCCAGAAUGCGCAUGGAUCAUUACGAUUUCGGACAUAAAACGGUCUUUACGAGUUCUACGUUAUUUUCUUCUCUAUAUUAAGGCAAAUAAUGCCGCAAGUAUUUGUAUUUUAUAAUUUUAAAGGAUUACAUUUAUGAAGUAUUACUACGCGGGGUGUAUCACGCUGCCACGUAGGCAGCUUUCUGAAUCACAGUCUUCCUCGGGACGCCAUGAUGGACGGUGGGAUCGACACUCAGCUUUUCUUUAGUCUCCUGAAAUUAUCAUUCUACAGUACUUCACUCCUCUCUAAGUGUUAACGGACUAUUUAGCCACUUUAUUGGUAUCACCCAUGAGGCACUUUGCGUCACAUUGCGCCGUCAAAUAACCCAAAACCGAGUCCUUGUGACCCUUCAAUACCACCAUAUUCGAACAGUGACACGGGCGCGUCACAUGGGAUGCGCUUUUUGCCUCGUGGGCGCAUCAAGCUGUGACUGACAAUUUGGGCAGAUAGAGCUGCCCUUCUCAGCACAGGAGGGUUCGAGGGGGGCAAAGCUCCCCGUUAGAAUGGGGUUCGCCCCCCGUUAGCGGUUAGGUUAUAAAGUUCGGUUGCAGUAUUUUAAAUAUAUUCGACAUGCGGUGUGGGCCGUCGAAAAUUACGCAAGCUCACAACACGGGACGGAGUGGGGCGGCGGCGGCCACUACACUGGGCAUAUAAUGACACGCCCUACACUCGUCAACAGACCGGCUGCGGCGGCUUCUGGGUUAUGUUGGAAUAGAUUACAAGAGUAUGCGUUAGGGACUUUCCUUACAUUCAAGACUAGGGAAUUAUCCCUAUUUUAAGGAUUUUUUAAGGGAAAUUUUGGAAGCCCAUUUUUCAGUGAUUUUGCCUUCCUCCCAAAACCCCGACUCGCCACAGGUCCCCAGGCUUGUUUUGGGGGUAGGGGGGGCAUGAGUCGUGGAGGGGAUGGAGUGGUAAUUCCUAAGAUUUACCGAAAAUAAAUAAACACUUUUACUGAAUGUAAGAGUAAGUUAAAAUAAAUAUGCCAAUAAAAUUCAGUCCAUAAAGUUGUAUAAAAUAACCCCUACUAUCCAUAUCAGACCCUAUGACAUACCGUUUUUCGAAAAUAUCUUUCAAACGAAGACGCGGACCAGCAUGGUGC
This is a long non-coding RNA of Eriocheir sinensis (Chinese mitten crab), 2470 nucleotides long. RefSeq lists it as uncharacterized. The transcript is spliced from 3 exons. Lineage: Eukaryota; Metazoa; Arthropoda; Malacostraca; Decapoda; Varunidae. The record is from RefSeq and is a predicted model, not a curated record.